UGGGGAAUAUUGCACAAUGGGCGCAAGCCUGAUGCAGCCAUGCCGCGUGUAUGAAGAAGGCCUUCGGGUUGUAAAGUACUUUCAGCGAGGAGGAAGGCGUUGUGGUUAAUAACCGCAACGAUUGACGUUACUCGCAGAAGAAGCACCGGCUAACUCCGUGCCAGCAGCCGCGGUAAUACGGAGGGUGCAAGCGUUAAUCGGAAUUACUGGGCGUAAAGCGCACGCAGGCGGUCUGUCAAGUCGGAUGUGAAAUCCCCGGGCUCAACCUGGGAACUGCAUCCGAAACUGGCAGGCUAGAGUCUUGUAGAGGGGGGUAGAAUUCCAGGUGUAGCGGUGAAAUGCGUAGAGAUCUGGGGGAAUACCGGUGGCGAAGGCGGCCCCCUGGACAAAGACUGACGCUCAGGUGCGAAAGCGUGGGGAGCAAACA
RNAcentral lists this ribosomal RNA (427 nucleotides) under uncultured bacterium. RNAcentral describes it as "partial 16S ribosomal RNA". It matches the Rfam family "Bacterial small subunit ribosomal RNA", at positions 355 to 774 of the family's 1533-position model. The record is from RNAcentral.